CUGUGCUGUACAAAGCAGCUGGAUCCUCUCCAGUGUCCCGACCUCUGUUUCUGAGAAGAAGAAAAAAAAGAUGUGUGAUUUGUAGUGAGGAUAAUGUUCCUGUGUGAGGAGCUGCUCACCUCGGGGCAGUACUGCCACUGUUGAAGCUGACGGCAGCGUACUCAACGGCUUCCUGUUGCUCCCUGUGUCUGAGGGGCGGAGCAGCUCUGAUGUUGGAGUACAGAGGAUCUGCCUGGCUGUUGGAGACGUGGAUGGUGGCGUACUGAAGGUCAACCUGCUCCUCUGGCUCACUCGGAUCAGGUUUUCAGCCGUGCCUUCACCUGUUGCAGCACUCCUCUUCCUCUCCAAAGCUGAAUGCUGAUGUUUCCUGUCUAAGCGGUGACAUAAAACACAUCACUCGAGCUGCUGCGAGGGAAUGUAGCCGGACUACACCAUUUUGUAAACAUAGCCAUGCUGAGAUAUACAGAGAGA
Long non-coding RNA from Perca flavescens (yellow perch), 471 nucleotides. RefSeq lists it as uncharacterized. The transcript has 3 exons. The record is from RefSeq and is a predicted model, not a curated record. Lineage: Eukaryota; Metazoa; Chordata; Actinopteri; Perciformes; Percidae.